This is an RNA transcript of Onychostoma macrolepis, 6471 nucleotides long. It is a transcript of the gene named HPS5 biogenesis of lysosomal organelles complex 2 subunit 2, with no coding region annotated. The transcript is spliced from 24 exons. The record is from RefSeq and is a predicted model, not a curated record. Lineage: Eukaryota; Metazoa; Chordata; Actinopteri; Cypriniformes; Cyprinidae.
AGCGCCGGUCAGUUUUUCAGUCAGCUGUCAAACACGCUGCAGGAAUUACAGCGGCACAAACACACACGGAUCUUCACUUUAAACACUAUGUGAUUGGGUUUUUUACUACAUUUCUGGAAAUUUCGCAGAUUUAAAUGCGCCUGGAGCUCAGGAGGAGACUGUUGCAGGAUGAUUCCUGUGGUUCCUGUGGAGUCCUGCACGCAUGUCCUGGCAGAGUUUGACUGUCUGGACCCCCUCCUUUCCGCCCUGCGACUGGACUCGGGACGAAUCAAAUGCACAUGUGUCUCCGUGUCCAGGAAGUGGUUGGCUCUGGGCACGUCUGCCGGAGGGCUUCAUCUCAUUCAGAGAGACGGCUGGAAGCAGAAACUCAUUCUCACACAUAAAGAAGGCUCAGUCACGCAGGUCUCAUGCUGCCCCCAUGAUGAAGACUUUAUCGCUGUAGCAACGAGUCAGGGUUUGGUGGUGGUGUGGGAGCUGCAUUUAGAGCGGCGUGGCCGUCCUGAGCGCGCCGCUGUGUCCUGGGAGCACCGCGGACAGACGGUAACAUCUCUGUGCUGGGACACCGCAGCCCUCCGAGUGUUUGCCGGAGAUGUGGGAGGGAAAGUGUCCUGCAUCCGGGCUGGGUCAUCUAAACUCGGGAAGGGCUCUGCGUUUGUGAUCUUCCCAAUUCAGACCAUCACCACAGUGGAUUCACGUGUCGUUCAGCUGGGCUACUCGGACGGACACCUGGUGGUCUCGUCUCUCAGCCGCUGCUACCUGUGUGACACAGAGAGGGAGAAGUUCUGGCGUGUGGGUAACAAAGAGCGAGAUGGAGAGUUUGGGGCAUGUUUUCUCCUGCAGGGUCCGGCGGGUCAGCGGGGUCAGGCGCUGUUGUACUGCGCCCGGCCCGGCUCCCGCAUAUGGGAGGCCAGUUUCAGUGGAGAGGUCCUGAGCACACACCAGUUUAAACAGCUGCUGGCCUGCCCACCGCUGCCCCUCGUCUCUUACAAGAAUGAGCCACAUUUCAACCCUGCACAGACGAGUCCACAGUCUCUGGCUUUCCCAAGACUCCUCCAGUUUGGUGAUCAAAACCUGCUCACCUGGACGGAUUCGGCCAUCUACAUCUUCACCCCUCACAGCGGUCAGGUUCUGCUAUGGACAGAGGUCAAAGAUGUAGUGGAGAUUUCAGUUUUCCGUAAUGAGCUAUUUUGUCUGUAUGGUGAUGGACGUUUGUCUCACCUGUCCCUGAUGUCACCUGAGCGAUGUGUGGAGCGUCUGAUGAAGAGGGAGAACUGGAUGCUCGCCACCACCGUCUGUUGCAUGUUUCAGCAUGUCAUUAUUACAUCCAGGGCCAGGAAGUCCCUCCCCAUUGAUCGGUUAGAGCAACUUAAGGCUCAGCUAAACUCCGCCUCCCAGCAGCAGCUGAUUGGUCAGCUGGAGGAAGUGAUCAGCAAACUGGAGCCACUGGACUCCGCCUGCAGCAGCCGCAGGAGCAGUAUUUCCUCACACGAGAGCUUCAACGUUCUGGACUGCGGCAUCUACCGCGUCAUCAGCCGAAGAGGCAGCCAAUCAGACGAUGACGCCAACUCCCUCGCCAACCAAUCGAUGCUUGAGGAGGAGCGGCUGAAGGAGUUCGGUUUCACUGAGGAGGAGCAGGUGGAGAAUGACUCUCAGUCUGUGCGUGGAGAGGGCGACAGGUCAGACAUCAGCUUGCAGUUUCUGCCGCUGCCUUUCCGCUCAAAACCCCCACGAGUCGCCCUGCAGGCUGUUCGAGACAGUGUCUCGAGCUUUGUGAAAAAGACCACCGAGAAGAUCAACACGCUUCAGAUGAACGCAGACCUGUGGCCUCGGCCUGACCUCAGGGAAGGGGUUCAAGGGGAGGUCACGGCUACAGUGACCCCUCUUCCAGAAGAAGUUGAGCAUGAAUUGAACGCUGAGCAGUCCAGCUCGGAGUCUGAGCUGCAGGAGCUGAGGGCCGCCACAAAGAAAGCCAUCUCUCAGAUCCAGGACCCCAUGGUUUUACUGGACCCUGUCUGUCUAAGUGAUGUACUUCGAGAGUGGGCUCCUGUUCUGGAGAGGGUCCUGGGUCCGGAGGAUCACACCAGACAUACAGAAAUAACAACUCAAGAGGAGAAGACUCUGGAGGAGGAAGAGCUUGUUUCAUCAAUGUCCUGCUGUGUCGUGGUUCAGCCAGAUAUCUACUCUGAUAACCUGGAUGAAUCUGCCACCCUUACUGAAGAAGAGGACCUUGGAGAGAGCACCCCUUGUUCCACCGCCCCAGUCAGAGCACUGUUCCCACCUCUGGCGAAUCAUGUCGAACUAAUACAGCUGUUUUCCCCCAAACCUCUGCCCCCUGACCUCCAGGCUGACCUCUCGCAGCUGGCCUGUCUUUAUCUGGAGAUGGGCUGUCCCGGUAGAGGAGGCAUCGAAAGCGUGUGUGUGUUCCUGAGGAGGUACUUCUUCCUGUUGGACCAGGAGAGAGUGAGGAAGAUGUGUAUGCUGCGGUACAGAGAGCACCGCGAGGUGAUGAAGGCGUAUAUUGCUGGCAUGCUGGAGUUCACUCAGGCCAGUAAGGUGGUGGAGGUGAUUCAGAAGGGCGAUCUGCUGAAGUCUCUGCGCAGUCUGAGAGAACUUCAGCCCUGGAACAUACCUCUGUUACUCUCACACCUGUACAGACUCUAUGAUAAACACGGAGAGGUGGCUGUUCGUGCCUACCCGCAGUUCUAUCCCACAAUCCUCCCCUCUGACGUCAUGGUCAUGGCUUUACCCAGCCACUUCCUGCCUUAUCUGGACAAUCUGGUCCAAUCACGAGCCGAGCAGCAGCGGUUGUCUUUCUUGGGCUCUCUUCUCCAGCCAGAAACUCUGCGACAGGAUUGGCUGAAACUGGCGCUAUCCCAUGAUGCCCCACAAAAGGAUGACACACUCACUGCUGACGGACAGCCCAGGUGGCACUCUCAUUUCUUCAGCUGGGGUUAUGGGCGUCUACUGUUUCUGCUGAUUCGUCUGCCUGCUGAUCUGGCCUCCAAACAGAAGAUGCUGGAGAUGUGCAGAACUCAUGGGUAUUGGAUGGGUUACCUGUACCUGUGCAGAGAGCUGCAGCGGCGGCCCGAGGCUUUCAGUGCCAUCUGCAGACUGGACGACAUGACACUACUAGAGGAGGAUGAUGGUAUUGUACCUCAGUCUCUGGAUGAGUGGGUGUUGCUUCUCCAGCUCUCCCAGCAAAUCAUUUCAAGCAAUGAAGCCCCGCCCACUUCAGCCCUGCCCAGCAGCCCCAAUGGAUCCUGUUCAGAUGUCACUAACGGCACAAGCGAUAGUUCUCCCGACCUAUCAGACAGUUCGACUGACUGGAGCAUUUGCAUCAGCCCGGAGAACAUCAUCCUGCGUCUGGUGCGGGUCUUCGGGCCGGACCAGGCCCUGACGGCCCUUCAGGAGCGUGGGAUACAGGUGGAUCUCAGUUCACGCUCCACGCUGGUCUGCGAUCUGCUUCGUAUGGCUGAGAAGCGGCAAAGAGCACUGAUUCAGACCAUGUUGGAGCGCUGUGACCGGUUUCUGUGGUCUCAGCACGCUUAAGACCUCUUAUGUCCACAUGAUCUCCACAUAUGCCUCCAGGACCCAGCGCUGCUCUCAGUCCGUGAGGCACGUGCUCCCAUCAGACGUGUGAAGCUAUCCACACUCGUCCCGAGUGAGAACAACAGCCUUUUAAAGUCAUCGAGCUGGAAUCCCCGAAGUUCUCCUCACUUUCCAAUUUCUCUUAUCAGACUUUCAGAACUGUGUGUUUUUCUCUGUUGCUCCGCUGACCUCUUUUCCAGGUGUGUCUUCUAUCAGAUCGUCCCUGUGCCAGCAGAAGUGUCAUCCGCAGGUGGGCAGAAAAAGACGGAUUACGGGAAACAUUGACAAUAAUCUCCUGACACUAAAUGUUAAAGGUCACCUAAAAAGGAAAAUUUGCUUAAAAUGUAUUCACUCUGAGGCCACUUGAGAUGAGUUUGUUUCUUUAUCAGAAAUGAUUUGGAAAUAUUUAGCAUUGUAUCUCUUGCUCAGCAAUGGAUGCUCUGCAGUGAAUGGGUGCCGUCAGAAUGAGAGUCCAAACAGCUGAUAAAAGCAUCUCAAUAAUUCAAAAGUAAUCCACAGUAAGACUCCAGUCCAUCAGUUUAUGUCUUGAGAAAUGAAAAACUGCAUGUUUGUAGGAAACAAAUCCAUCAAGGCAUUUUAAUUUUAAAACAUCAUAUAUUUAUAUAUGGUACUGAAGUAUACUUUAUAGAUCUAGUUAGUAUUGUUCUGCGUAGGGAAAAAAUAGAACUUUAGAAAUUUGUAGCUUCUUGAUUUCUAUAUAGUACAACAGUCAGUUACAUACAGGUUCACAGUAAGACAUCUGAAUUCCAUUAUUGUCAACUGAUUGAAAUAUUUGAUGGUGUUUUUCAGUGUAUUUGGGAUCUAGUUUCAUCCAGGAAGCUUUACGCAGAGCCAGAGAGCUGACAGACGCCGCGUGCACUAGUAGUAAUAUCCAAUACUGUACGUCACUUUAAUGAUUUAUUGUAGCAUUGUUUGACAGGUUGUAAUAUGUCAAAUGAUUUAUGGCUAUAUGACUCCUCUGUCACCCUGACUGCCAUGACAGUAGUGUGUGUAAAUCAAAAGAUCAAAACAGAUGUUAGAUCUGACAUUUAAUGGAUUUAUGAUGUUUUUAUGGAGUUCCUUCCUGGCCUGCAGCUAACGGUCAGCCUGGAGGUGUUGGGUUCUUCCUGAUUGUGGAUAAAUGGCUGAGCAGUGGGUGUGUAUUGACACCUUAAGAGGUUUGUUUGAUUUGUAUGUUAUAUGUUAAUGCCUAGUCACCAAUUUGUUCCUACCGGCUUGUCUACAUCCGCUUCUGAAUAAGGAAGGUUGUCAGGACGACUACCAAGAGGUGUAAAAUACUUGAGUAAUUUUACUUGAUUACUUGAGUAUUAUUUUGGGGGAUUUGUACUUUAUUCAAGUACAAUUUAAACUGACUACUUGUACUUUUACUUGAUUACAUUUCUGAAGAAAAACAGUACUUUUUAUUCCAUACAAUUUUAUUUCAUCUUGAAAAGUACAUUACAUUUUUAUUUUAUCUUAUGCACAUUAAAUAUGGUAAACGGAAGCUCAAACGGAAGCCUGAUCAAUGUUUUCACGCAUCAAGCACACAUUUCUACUUCGGUUAUGACUUUAAUCAGGUAAAUGUCUGGCUUCAAAAGUUCAGGAAGCAUGUUGAGGUAGCAAAGUUGCGUUUUCCCAAAAAAUGUUUAUUCAUUAUUCGUUCUGUUUUGAUAGCGCCGUUAGCUGUGUAAUAUAUUAGCUGAAUGCACAAGAUUGAGUGCAAAUAAAAUCAGUGAUGAGAAUUUAAAAACAAUUCAUAUUUUUGUGGGAAUAUUUGUUUUAAUUAAAUAAAAAUCUCCAAAAGUGUUUAAAUAAACAAUGUUUGUUAAAUUAAAUGUAAUUCAUGUUUAGUGAUGUUCUUACCAGGUGGAUAAGUUGAAUUUAUAAUAUGUCAUUAUAUGACAAAUUGAGUAGGAAUUAGGACUGUCAAUGAUUUUUUUUUAAAAAUCUUAAUAAUUACAUGAUUUGCUCAUUAAUUAAUCUAAUUAGUCACAAAUAAUUAUCAAUAUUUGCUGAGAAAAAACUCUAAAUGCCCGAAAUAAACAAUUAAAAGUUUAAUUAUCCUGUCAGACCGUGACGUUGAAUAGACAACACAAAAAAGUGGUCUUUCAAAAUGUUAAUGUUGUAUGUUUUAAUUCUAUGACUCUCCUCAUUAAUUUAACACAUUAUUGUAUUCUGUCUGCAAAAUGUUUCUAGCCUCUGCAUCACAUCUUGCUCUUCAAAGGGGUAGUUCACCCAAAAAUGAAAAUUCUCAUCAUUUACUGACCCUCGUGUCGUCCCAGAUGUUUAUGACUUUCUUUCUUAAGGUGAACACAAGCAAAGAUUUUUAGUCUGUAUAAUGCAAGGGGACAGAACCACUUCAGAAACCACACAAAGUGAACAUGACUGUCAAGUUUAAAAUAUUAGUGUCCUUCUUACAUAUGCCUAUAAUUUCACUUAAGACACUGUUUCAUUAUCAGGAGCUGCAUGAGUUAGUCAUAUUCACUUUGUGUAGUUUUUGAAGUGUCAUUUUGGGACGUCCUAUACACGUGAUUUUUUUUUUCUAAAACUCUUAGUUUGUGUUCAUCUGAUAAAUGAAAGUCAUAAGGAAUGGCAUGAGGGUGGAAAGGAUGGAGUUUCCUUUUAAUCCCUUUCCCUGUAUUUAUUUUAGUUUUUCCAGCUGUGCUGUAUUUUAAUUGCUGUUGUUUCAGUAGAUAUGUGUGUUGGACCUGUGCCAUUGCAAUUUGUUUCGUUUUCUCCCUUUAACCAAACUUCUGAAUGUCUGUCAGAAAAUAAAGUACUUCUACUAAUACUUGAGUAUAAUUUAAAGUUGUACUUUUUUUUUUACUUUUACUCAAGCAUGUUUUUGUACUUUUAAUUGAGUAAAAUUUUCACUAAGUAUCU